GACGAACGCUGGCGGCGUGCUUAACACAUGCAAGUCGAACGGAAAGGCCCUGCUUUUGUGGGGUGCUCGAGUGGCGAACGGGUGAGUAGCACGUGAGUAACCUGCCCUUGACUUUGGGAUAACUUCAGGAAACUGGGGCUAAUACCGGAUAGGAGCUCCUGCUGCAUGGUGGGGGUUGGAAAGUUUCGGCGGUUGGGGAUGGACUCGCGGCUUAUCAGCUUGUUGGUGGGGUAGUGGCUUACCAAGGCUUUGACGGGUAGCCGGCCUGAGAGGGUGACCGGCCACAUUGGGACUGCGAUACGGCCCAUACUCCUACGGGAGGCAGCAGUGGGGAAUAUUGCACAAUGGGCGGAAGCCUGAUGCAGCAACGCCGCGUGCGGGAUGACGGCCUUCGGGUUGUAAACCGCUUUCGCCUGUGACGAAGCGUGAGUGACGGUAAUGGGUAAAGAAGCACCGGCUAACUACGUG
This 468-nucleotide ribosomal RNA is filed under the name uncultured bacterium. RNAcentral's name for it is "partial 16S ribosomal RNA". It matches the Rfam family "Bacterial small subunit ribosomal RNA", at positions 28 to 507 of the family's 1533-position model. The record is from RNAcentral.